Molecule: non-coding RNA, 31 nt
Filed under: Mus musculus (house mouse)
Lineage: Eukaryota; Metazoa; Chordata; Mammalia; Rodentia; Muridae
Source: RNAcentral
UCUACAAUAAACUACCUCCUCCACCAUACCU